Molecule: ribosomal RNA, 499 nt
Filed under: uncultured Pseudomonadota bacterium
Lineage: Bacteria; Pseudomonadati; Pseudomonadota
Description: bacterial SSU rRNA
Rfam family: Bacterial small subunit ribosomal RNA
Source: RNAcentral
UCGGGAAUAUUGGACAAUGGGCGCAAGCCUGAUCCAGCAAUGCCGCGUGUGUGAAGAAGGUCUUCGGAUUGUAAAGCACUUUCGGCGGGGACGAUGAUGACGGUACCCGCAGAAGAAGCCCCGGCUAACUUCGUGCCAGCAGCCGCGGUAAUACGAAGGGGGCUAGCGUUGCUCGGAAUUACUGGGCGUAAAGGGCGCGUAGGCGGCGGUGUCAGUCAGGCGUGAAAUUCCUGGGCUUAACCUGGGGGCUGCGCUUGAUACGGCAUUGCUAGAGGGUGGAAGAGGGUCGUGGAAUUCCCAGUGUAGAGGUGAAAUUCGUAGAUAUUGGGAAGAACACCGGUGGCGAAGGCGGCGACCUGGUCCAUUACUGACGCUGAGGCGCGACAGCGUGGGGAGCAAACAGGAUUAGAUACCCUGGUAGUCCACGCCGUAAACGAUGUGCGCUGGAUGUUGGGGCUCUUAGAGCCUCAGUGUCGUAGCUAACGCGGUAAGCGCACCG